CAGCCUGUGUGAAGUGAGACCUGACAAGCAUGAACACAGCCCAGAGAACCAAUCCUUUGUCUGAUUACAACUGUCGACAGAGAAGUCUGGUGAAGUUCUAUGAGACUCUCUCCACAUUUACUGCAAAACUAGGGGUCUUACCGUCUUAACCCCGGUAUCCUUGCUAAAUUCCCAAUGGGGCAACUCAUACUGCAUGAUCACCUCAUCAUUCACAGCUUAUGGUGGGCAUUCUUAUGUAAAAUGGUCACCAUGCACAAACCAGUUCGUUUUGUUUCGUCAAGCCUACCAGCGGUUUUCUCUAGUUCUGUUUUCUAGCUUUCCCGGUCUUGACGAUUCUGCCUGCCCUGAGCCUGCCUGCCGUUCUGUACCUUUCGGACUCUGCUCUGGAUUACUGACCCCUGCCUGCCCUUGACCUGUCAUUUGCCUGUCCCCCUGUUUUUGAAAUAAACUUUUGUUACUUCGAAAUUGUCUGCAUCUGGGUCUUCUCCUGAGCCUUGAUAAUAGCCCUCCUUUAGGAUUGCACAUUUAGCAAGUCACCAGCUGAGGGAGUUCCCUUUGAAUCCUUUUUCAUUCAUUAUGUUGGUGGUGCUUAUAAAAUGUAUCAUACCACUCUGGAAAUGGUAUGUACUUGUAGAGUAUAUUGUUCCAAACAAUAUGUCUUAAAAUUAACAAAAUCAAAAAGAUGUGUAAAACAAUUUAUAGAUCAUCAUAAUUGGACUGGAUCAAGAGUGAAGGAAGGACCCUUGAGUUCCCUGAGUAUAAAGGCUUUUCCAUCCUCCCUCCACAUGGAUUGUACAGGAAUGUAGGCUUAAAACGCAUCAUAAAUUCCUGCACCCAUCCCAGUCACAUGUAAGGCACUCUCUGUGCCGUACAGUCAUUUGGAGACACCUUGUGUUCGCUCUGAAAUGAGGACUGGAGGAGGAGUGAAAGCGUCUGUGUUUUCCAUCCUCAAAUUCGUCAAAAUCUACACAACAAUCUAAUGAUUCGUGGGGACCUUGUCUGGUUGACAAAAACUGGGGCAGCAAUGUUGAUACCAUCAGCCAAAAUGUUUGCUUCUUAUGCCGUCAGCCCUUUGACCAACUUUUCUUUUUGUAUAGCAACAGAUCUGCAACAUCUGCAUUCAUAGUUUGACUGUGGACAGCACUUUCUCCUCAAGUCACAACCUUUGGGUUGAAAUUCAGUUUGUCUGUGGAGCAACAGUCUGAGCCAGUCGAAUGGGAAUGCCUUGAGAACAAGGGGUGGGGAUUCCGUCCAUGGUCCAUAUCAAAUGGAUCUAAGCUUCCUGGUCGGGCUCCCUUCAGGGGGUGUUUAGACAUUAAGUUUAGUGUUUGUCUACAGAUGCUACUGUGAACACACACAUCCCCCUCUCCGUGAACACCAGGGACUCUGAACACACACACACACACACCCCUCAUAUCACACACUACUCCCAUCUUUGUUUAAGGGCACAGCAGGGAGGGACAUACGGAUGUUAACCAGACCCCAGGCAGGGUGGCAGAGGGAGGGACACACCUUCCGGAGGACACACACACACACACACACACACACACACACACACACACACACACACACACACACACACACUGUGUGUUUGUAUUUUGUGUGUGGUGUGUGCAUGAGGCUAUGUGUGUGUUCACUGUAUAUACAUUGGCUUUGAUGUGUCUGGCAAUGGUAAUGAGGCAUUCAAACAGUGCAUAUUAGCCUGGCAAACCCUAUCAUGCCUUUAGGGGCCUUUUUCCCCAAGUUUGACUGAGGGAUAAGGAAUGUAAUUCAUAACAGCUACACAACAGAGAAAACUCAGUCUUUCUGUUGAAAAGCAGUUAAAUUAAAGCUGCUUCUAGACAGUCAUGCAGGUCUAUUAGGAUACAUAAGAAGAUCUAUCAACACUCAUCAAUAAAAAAUGAUGUAUGGCAUCUGAGAAUGAUGUCUGGCUUUUAGGGGUGGACUGGCCAUCUGGCAAAUGCCAGAUGGGCUGGUCCUUUUUUAGACAAGUGGGCCUGUCUAACUUGGGUUUUUUGAGCAAAAUUAUAAUUAUCUGGCUAAUUAUGGCCUGAAGGAAAAGAAUUAGCCAGUGUGGGGGCCUGGAGGAAAAUAAUGGGCCAGUGGGCCUCCUGAGUGGCGCAGCGGUAUAAGGCACUGCAUCGCAGUGCUUGUGGUGUUACUACAGACCCGGGUUUGAUCCCGGGCUGUGUCGCAGCCUGUCGUAACCGGGAGAACCAUGAGGUGGUGCACAAUUGGCCCAGCAUCGUCCGGGUUAGGGGAGGGUUUGGCCGGCUGUGAUGUCCUUGCCUCAUCGCACUCUAGUGAUUAUUUGGCGUGCUGGGCCCAUGCACACUGACACGGUCGGCAGUUUUAAGGUGUUUCCUCCGACACAUUGGUGCGGCUGGCUUCCUGGUUAAGCGAGCAGUGUGUCAAGAAGCAGUGCGGCUUGGCAGGGUCGUGUUUCUGAGGACACAUGGCUCAACCUUCGCCUCUCGAGUCCAUACGGGAGUUGCAGUGAUGGGAAAAGACUGUAACUACCAAUUGGAUAUCUCAAAAUUGGAGAGAAAAAGGGGUAAAAUAAAUAAAUAAAAAAUAGUAAAAAAAUAAAUAUCCCAGGGCCGAGUUUUGGUCCCAGUCCGCCCCUGCUGGCUUUAGUUACUUGGGACAAAGUGAAAGAGCUGACAUCUGGAAGGCUUCUUAUGCUUCUUUUGCCCAUGGUGAAUUGCAAAUCACCCCUUUAUCCCUCAAAUAAUUUCUCUGCUACUAAUAAAUAUUUGAAACUAUAUGACAGAGAAGUUGCUACUAAAUUAUAGUAAUGAUAACAUUCUUCCUAACAAAUGUGCCCAUUUGCUUUUGCUAUUACAAU
This 2848-nucleotide long non-coding RNA is filed under the name Salmo salar (Atlantic salmon). Its description in RNAcentral is "lncRNA (ENSSSAG00000119333.1)". The record is from RNAcentral. Lineage: Eukaryota; Metazoa; Chordata; Actinopteri; Salmoniformes; Salmonidae.